Long non-coding RNA from Pipistrellus kuhlii (Kuhl's pipistrelle), 656 nucleotides. RefSeq lists it as uncharacterized. The transcript is spliced from 2 exons. Lineage: Eukaryota; Metazoa; Chordata; Mammalia; Chiroptera; Vespertilionidae. The record is from RefSeq and is a predicted model, not a curated record.
GCCUGUGCUCACGGUACUAAUGAGGUGGGAGCUCCUGCACCGGAAACCAGUCGGACGAACGUUCCCACCACAAAAGCUACCUGAAGCACUGGCACUUCGAAGGCAUCCAUUCAGCAAAAUCUAAACUGACCGGGGGAUAAGGAAACAAAGAAGCCAUCUGCUGAUUAUUGAUUAAGUCCAGGACAGGCCUUCGGUUCCUGAGGUGAGGAAGAAAUACCUGGAAGCGAGAACAAAAUCUACUUUGCUUGCUCAGACUCAGACUGCUACAGGGUGAGAAGGAUUUUACACAAGGAGACUCUAUUCCUGGCUGUGAAGUUGGAACGGCUGCUCCACAAGGAAUGUGGGAGGUCUCUCGGAGCUGAGAAUGACCCCAAGUGAACAGCCAGCGGGUUUAGGACCUCAGUCCUACAACCACAAGGAAUUUAAUUCUGCCACAGCCAUGGGAGCUGAGAAGAGGACCCCAGGCUCCGGAUGAGAAGGCACAAAAUGGUUUUUCAUUAAUCGAUGCCAACCCUAUCUCGAUCCUUUCACACAGGUAUGCUCUGCUUUUGCCAGCUCUUAAAAUACCUCUCCUUUCUUUUCUCCAUACUCUCUAUACCAGGCCUUCUUCCAGUUCAAAGUCUGUAACAAUACUCUUACCCGCCAAAUCAUAAAGG